UCUCGCGACGUCCACGUGGGCACAAGGGACUGGGCUGAUUUUCUCCCUGCUCGUUUUGUCGUCGCAAGAAAAACCCUAGCCCGUCCCCGUCCGCAUCCCUGCCGCCGCCGCCGCCCUCCCAAUUCCCUCUGCUCCUGCUGCUUCCCUCCACCUCUCCCUCCUCCAUGCCGUCAGGGGCGCCCCUCAAGCCCCACCUCAUCGGUUCCUCACCCCGGGCUCCUUCUCCCCCGCCCAUGCUGCUCUCUGUGCGCGGCAACCGGAUAGAGGAGGAAGAUCAGGAGGGCCGCAGGGAUGAAGGAGGAGGUAGAGCCGUUCACGUCGCCGCCGCCGUCUUCCUCGCCCUCAGCGUGCGGGCCGCAGCGCUCCACCUCCUUGGCAUCUCCGUCUGGUCUGCAGAUGUUGAGAAAUAAGGGACGGAAGCAAGAUGUGAGGAUGUGGAGACGCUAUGUUGCCUCCAUCCCUGGCCUUCUUCUUGGCGUGUACUCGUUGGUCAUGCUCCGCUUCCUCCACUCCCACCUCUCGGCCUCGACACCUCUGCGUAUUUCUCCAUCACUCUCUUGCAGUGUUGUUAUCUUUUCAGGUAUGUGCUGAGAAUCCUAGGUGCGGCGACCUCAACAAUGUCCCAUCGUUGCCGGCGGUCGGCUAUAUGCUCCUGCGGAAUAAGUUCUUCCUGACCACCUCGACACUCACCGCCGCCGAGGAAUCCAGGGACAAGACUACCACCAAGUUGCUCAUCCGCCUUCAGGUGCAGACGGUGGGCUUUGCGUGGUCGAACCUAAGGUAGUUCCUUUCAAGGGCUAAUACCAAUGAGGUGUACCAGGUGCGCUGGCUUAUGCCAUCGCAUCCACCGACAGCAAGGUGGAGAAGGAGGCGCUCAAGGAGAGGGAGGCCAGGAUGGUGCUUGUGUCUAUACGGUGACAGCGUGGACCUCUUCUUCGCAGAGAGGACGAAGUUGCAUGUCCCAAAUCGUUAGGGGCUAGGUUGUUUCCGCGUCGAGGAGUUCAUUUUGGCAGACGGAACUUUUGAAAGCUAGAAUAUUUUGGUGAAAUGUGAAGGGCUGCUUCAGUUUACCCAUAGUGUUAUUUCUAGAUGAACAAGGAGUGGUGACAUUGUGAGAUGGUGAAGCCAGAGCAUUGUCGAUGAAACUAGCCGAGGAGGAAUUGUGAGUUCACCUCCCUCUCCUUUGCAUCGGUUGUAUUUUCUCUCCUCUUUGUGCCCAUAUAUGUUAUGUUUCCCCGGGUCGGUGUGAAGUGAGCACGCAGUUUGUCAUCGUUCGUCAAUCGUCUGUCCUGUUCGUCUUCACUUCGUUCGAUGUGCCUUUCCGUUGCGGAGGUGUGUUUUGUUGUUUUAUCUUGUUGCACUUGUUAAUAUGAAAUCACGUCUUAAAGGAUUCAGAAGGUUAUACUUCAGUUUAGUUAUUGUGUUCUUAAGAUUUCUAUACGAACUUUACUCCUUUCUACAAGACUAGCCAUCAAAUCAUGAUAACUGAACCAUUGAAAAACUAUAGAAGGAUUAGUGGCAAUAAAACCUUAGGUUAGUUCUACCCUUUAUUUUGUUAUAAUUCCUCUGUUCUGGUAAUGAAAAAGAUGACCACACAGAUUAAAGGUUUAGAAACUAUAAAAGGAUCUGAACAUGAAGCUUAAUCUGCUGAAUUUUCACUUCAGUAGUCCCUCGGCUUCGAGAGUAUACGCAAUAUUUGAUUGUUGCUUCUCAAUGAUGCUACCAAAAAUUGGACACCCUGGCGUCGGAGAGACGGACCAGGAGGCCGAGCAGUCCGUGGUGUCGCCGCCGUCGUCCUCAUCCCUCGUGCGUGGUGACGGAGAGAGGCGAUCCGUCUGGAGCUCGAGUAUAGUUGACCGCGUCUCUUUUCUUUCUCUUCUUUCGCACGUCUCUUUUUCUGUAGCUGUUUGAAGGCUUAUGAUGCAUGGUCACUGACUGUAUUGGAGAUGUAACAUAGUUUGUUAGGUUCAGCCAUUGUGCAAUCUGCACUAACAGGCAUGUGCCCAGCUAAGAGCAAUCUGUAGGAUAUAAUCUAGGAUUUGCUGCAAUUAUCUGCUUCAAUUUAUAGGUAUAAGUACUUCAAAUUCCUUCAAUGGUUGGGAGACAUAUGAAUUUGAUUACACUACUAUUUCAAUUACUGGAUGGUUAUUUUCAGUGUUAUUUAUGACCAUUUCUGUACUUGACAUGGUAUCAAGGUUACAGCCGAAUGUAUCUUGUACCAUACCACCCAUGGAUCUAAGUACAAAUUAUAAUGAGCAAUGAUUUCUCAGGCUAAAAAAUUUCUGCUAUCUCACUCAAGAGCAAUAAUAUACCCACUGAAGACUGACAGAAAACUGUAACCUUACUUUGAGUAGUGCAUCUCACAAUAACAGUUGUCCUCUCUUUUUACAUGUUUUAAAAAUCUGCAUAUUUUCUUGUAAUGAUUUCGGUAACAAAAUUGAAUGGCGCGGUGUAUGCUCACAUAUCCCCGCUCUUACAAGCUACCAUAAGGCAUGUUUCAGACUGUUAGUGUAUACUAUAUUGCUUACUCUGACAUUGGAUUUUGUGUUAACUGCUAUAUUAUAUAUUUUUGUUUCUUCUCAGGAGCCGCCUCCUCUUUUACUGAUAAAAACUGGUCGGAGGGGAUCUGCUUUUUCCCCUGAUCUUCUACGCGAUUGGGAGCCUGAGCCAUGGCUGACCCAUUCACUGCUGGUCAGGAAAAUCUGUCCGCCUCUUCUUAUUUUUCCUCUGUUGUUCUUCUGUUGGACGAAGGGGUUACUAACGUAAUCAGGUUGGUUUCUUAGUGCCUACCUCCUUGCCAGAUUUGGUGAUGAUGCCAAAGGAAACAAUGGGUUGUUGGGAUACCCGGAAUUAUCUUCUAUCAGCACUUGCAUUCAAAACCCAAACUGACCUUUAGUUUAAUGGAACGUACGUACAUUCACUGAUUUGUAUACUUAUUAGUUUGCCCAGAAGAACAUAGAUGUUGGUUUCAUAAUAUGUAUUUAUGGAUUGUAACCUACGUUUAUCAAUACGUCCAUUAUAUGCAUACGGCAAUUUUUAUUAAGGUGAUCUGGUGCUCUUCUUUUUCUUUCGACUUAUGCGUGGUGGUUAUAAGCCAAGGAAUAGUGGAAGUGCAUCACAAUUCUCUCUUGUAUGAUCAACCAUGUACAUUACCUGAUAUCAUCUAAUGCACGUGACUCAUUAUCGUGCAAAUGGCUCCAGCAAAACCUAAUAAAAAUGCUAAUCAGGCUCAAGGUGCAUGUUUUCCAACAAGUAGACUAAACAUGUUGGCAAGUAGAUACGCUAAAAAAAACAUGUCGGCAAGUAGAGAAAAAAGGACUGGGAGGGACGAUUAAGUUCAACAAUAGUUGACAUAUGCUCAUUUGUUUUGCUAAUAUGGUGCUACGGUGGCGUUCAUUUGUCUGUUGUACCAUUUGGUCGUGUCGCUGUAUGAUGGCGUUCCAUUGUCUGAAUUUGGAUCGCGGUGCAGGUCUCGGCAGCACCCAAAUAUUCACACAUAUUGGUGAUAGUCUGAUAGGCCUUUUGGGAUUUGCAGUGUAUGUGGAUCUUGGCAGAGCAGAGUCACUUAACCCCGUUAGAGAGUACCAGGGAUAUAACAUCAUUUUGAAAAUCCGAAUUUGGCUAAUCCAUGUGUACUGGACCUGUUUUUGAAGUUGUUCUGUCUCAUUUUUGUGAAGUGAACAUGCUUUUGCUAGCUGAACUUUACAAAGAGCUUAGCCUCUUCAUCCAUCGUGCACUGGUCUCUCUCUCCACCUCAUCCUUUUCUUUGGUCUCUAGGUGGGGCUGUGCAUUUGCUUGGAUUUUGUGGUGGCCUGGUUGGGAAAAGGAAGGUGCAUCUACUUUUGUUUGCUUCAGUUCUCCCUUUUGGAUUGAGUUGUUGCUAGUUUGCCAUGAAGUUCCUUUACUUGAUAAGAAAUUUUAGUUUGAAAUAUGUGGUCAUUGGGAGUUCAGAAAAGGUGGCAAGCAGGGAAGUCACUACUUUGUACUUGUAUUGCUUCCUUUUACUCAAGUACCUUCAUACAAGAUACUAAGUAUUUUUCAGUUUUUCCUCA
Triticum aestivum (bread wheat) is the source of this 4052-nucleotide RNA transcript. RefSeq lists it as uncharacterized. The transcript has 8 exons. The record is from RefSeq and is a predicted model, not a curated record. NCBI's taxonomy places the organism in Eukaryota, Viridiplantae, Streptophyta, Magnoliopsida, Poales, Poaceae.